AGGGAAUCUUCCGCAAUGGACGCAAGUCUGACGGAGCAACGCCGCGGGAGUGAUGAAGGUUUUCGGAUCGUAAAACUCUGUUGUUAGGGAAGAACAAGUACGAGAGUAACUGCUCGUACCUUGACGGUACCUAACCAGAAAGCCACGGCUAACUACGUGCCAGCAGCCGCGGUAAUACGUAGGUGGCAAGCGUUGUCCGGAAUUAUUGGGCGUAAAGCGCGCGCAGGCGGUCUUUUAAGUAUGAUGUGAAAGCCCACGGCUCAACCGUGGAGGGUCCUUGGAAACUGGGAGACUUGAGUGCAGAAGAGAAGAGUGGAAUUCCAUGUGUAGCGGUGAAAUGCGUAGAGAUAUGGAGGAACACCAGUGGCGAAGGCGACUCUUUGGUCUGUAACUGACGCUGAGGCGCGAAAGCGUGGGGAGCAAAC
This 425-nucleotide ribosomal RNA is filed under the name uncultured bacterium. RNAcentral describes it as "bacterial SSU rRNA". It matches the Rfam family "Bacterial small subunit ribosomal RNA", at positions 356 to 773 of the family's 1533-position model. The record is from RNAcentral.